RNAcentral lists this small nuclear RNA (93 nucleotides) under Nannospalax galili (Upper Galilee mountains blind mole rat). Lineage: Eukaryota; Metazoa; Chordata; Mammalia; Rodentia; Spalacidae. The record is from RNAcentral.
GUGCUCACUUUGAUAGCACAUAUACUUCAGGGAAGAUUGGCAUGGCCCCCUUGCAAGAAGGAAACACAAAUUCAUGAAGCAUUCCAUAUUUUG